Molecule: ribosomal RNA, 275 nt
Filed under: uncultured bacterium
Lineage: Bacteria
Description: partial 16S ribosomal RNA
Rfam family: Bacterial small subunit ribosomal RNA
Source: RNAcentral
GCGUGAGUGAUGAAGGCCCUAGGGUUGUAAAGCUCUUUUACCCGAGAUGAUAAUGACAGUAUCGGGAGAAUAAGCUCCGGCUAACUCCGUGCCAGCAGCCGCGGUAAUACGGAGGGAGCUAGCGUUGUUCGGAUUUACUGGGCGUAAAGCGCACGUAGGCGGCAUAGUAAGUCAGGGGUGAAAUCCCGGAGCUCAACUCCGGAACUGCCCUUGAAACUGCUAAGCUAGAAUCUUGGAGAGGCGAGUGGAAUUCCGAGUGUAGAGGUGAAAUUCGU